Long non-coding RNA from Wasmannia auropunctata (little fire ant), 495 nucleotides. RefSeq lists it as uncharacterized. Lineage: Eukaryota; Metazoa; Arthropoda; Insecta; Hymenoptera; Formicidae. The transcript is spliced from 2 exons. The record is from RefSeq and is a predicted model, not a curated record.
UGCUCAAGGUGACCCAAUUAUAACUUGCUGCUCCAUAACAAAGUCCCUCGCGUGACUCAAAGGGAUCCUCGGAUGAAAGGGCAGGUACUCAUUGAAUACAUUUAAAGCAACAACGGAAGCGUCAUUACGUUAUCAGCCUGACUGAUGGAGCGACAAAUCCUCUCCGUCCGGUUUAAAAGAACGGCACAUUUCGCAACUGCACGACAAGUGUGUUUACCAUAACGCAAAUGAUGGUUCUUCAUGAGGGACGCUUUAUUUCGAGGACAUCGCAUGGUGUCAUCGAAUGAAUCAUUAUUACGCAAUCGCGCGUUAUAAGUAUCAGGAGCUACAAUGAGCCGCAAGAAGAUCCGUUGGGCAACUUAGCGCGUUUCCUUUUACAAAAGUUGCAUGUAAACGCAUCGAUAUUACGCUUCCGCAAUGACAGCAUGACGUGACUCACUUACUGAAAUUUUACACGUAUUAAAUAUUCCGACACUGGAAAAAUUGUGACCUUUA